AGCUUUCUGAAUCCGUGCUGAGAUUUCUUCAGACACCAACCCAUUAGGCCUGAUCAAACUUCCAAGAUAAGUGAAGUU
Molecule: non-coding RNA, 78 nt
Organism: Schistosoma rodhaini
Lineage: Eukaryota; Metazoa; Platyhelminthes; Trematoda; Strigeidida; Schistosomatidae
Source: Rfam